AGGGUUUGAUUCUGGCUCAGGACGAACGCUGGCGGCGUGCCUAACACAUGCAAGUCGAACGGAACUUCUUUAAAGGAUUUCUUCGGAAUGAAUUUGAUUAAGUUUAGUGGCGGACGGGUGAGUAACGCGUGAGUAACCUGCCUCUAAGAGGGGAAUAACAUUCUGAAAAGAAUGCUAAUACCGCAUAAUAUAUAUUUAUCGCAUGGUAGAUAUAUCAAAGAUUUAUCGCUUAGAGAUGGACUCGCGUCCGAUUAGUUAGUUGGUGAGGUAACGGCUCACCAAGACCGCGAUCGGUAGCCGGACUGAGAGGUUGAACGGCCACAUUGGGACUGAGACACGGCCCAG
RNAcentral lists this ribosomal RNA (345 nucleotides) under uncultured bacterium. Its description in RNAcentral is "bacterial SSU rRNA". It matches the Rfam family "Bacterial small subunit ribosomal RNA", at positions 8 to 334 of the family's 1533-position model. The record is from RNAcentral.